UACGUAGGGUGCGAGCGUUAAUCGGAAUUACUGGGCGUAAAGCGUGCGCAGGCGGUUUUGUAAGCCAGAUGUGAAAUCCCCGGGCUUAACCUGGGAAUGGCAUUGGAAACUGGCGAGCUGGAGUGUGGCAGAGGGGGGUGGAAUUCCGCGUGUAGCAGUGAAAUGCGUAGAGAUGCGGAGGAGCACCGAUGGCGAAGGCAGCCCCCUGGGCCAACACUGACGCUCAGGCACGAAAGCGUGGGGAGCAAACAGG
This 253-nucleotide ribosomal RNA is filed under the name uncultured bacterium. RNAcentral describes it as "partial 16S ribosomal RNA". It matches the Rfam family "Bacterial small subunit ribosomal RNA", at positions 524 to 776 of the family's 1533-position model. The record is from RNAcentral.